This 4219-nucleotide long non-coding RNA is filed under the name Homo sapiens (human). RNAcentral describes it as "non-protein coding lnc-MAP1LC3B2-28:3". Lineage: Eukaryota; Metazoa; Chordata; Mammalia; Primates; Hominidae. The record is from RNAcentral.
AUUUGCACUCCCUGUGGUCCCAGGUGGCAGGUAAGCUCUCAGUCUCUGGCUGUAUACUGUUAGAGACCUCUUCUUCCCGUGGGUAGCUUCCCAAGCAAGGGGGUUUUCCCAAACCUCAAGAACUGCAGGACUAUCAGACAUUAGCAGAAUUAGAUCUGCCUGGCCUCCGGGCCAAAAAAAGAUUUCAAUUGUUUCAGGACAGAUUAAAUUCAGGACUGGGAAUAGGGCAGGGGAGGUCUUUUUUCGCAGUCCCACCUGCCUGUGACUUGCAGAUCUGGACGAAGAAUUUCCUGUCCUAACUAGGCCUCAGUUUCCCUGAAAUAACAUCGAUUAGGUGGGAGUGGGUGUGGGUCAGUAGGAUUUCCUCUUACCCCCAGCCCUUUUCAAUCUAAUUCAGAAAUGAGGAUGAAGCCAAGUGUUUGGAGUUCUUGCGAAGAAAGAUACAACAGCCACACAAGGUAUUAUUAACUUUAUUACUUGUCAGGAAGAGGUGGGGGAAGCAGUUAAGAUUCGGCUAGAUGAGAGGUGAGUGUACUGCAUUACAAUCUCUGGAGGGUGUGGUGGGCAUAUGAGCUGGAAAGGACCAUUAUUUAUUUACUACUUUUGUUAAGUGCCUGUAAUGUGCUGGGUGCUAUGCUGGAUGUGUGUGUAACACAGACACAUAAACCAUUCAGGGUCAACCUUGCGUGGGUGGGAGGAGGUUAAAAGCACUUGCAUCUUCUUCUCCCUGAAAACAGAAACAUCUUCCUCCUUGGCCUACCAUGGUGCCAGCAAUCUCCAGCAUUAGCGAUGGCUCCUUGGGGGUAACCUGCAGAAGCUUCUUAACUGGGUUAAGGCAUCUUAUUACCUUGCAGGAGUAAGGCAAUCGCCAGCUCACUGAUAGUACACAAUGAUUUCGCUCAUUCCAUCCACUCUUGGCCAUUGGUGCAGCAGGAAGGGCCUUGGGGUCCUCCAAUUUGGACAGUGGGGAGGACUUGGCCCUGGGCUGACAGAUUGCUGCUUGGCAGGUUUAUGGGAGCCAGGCGUCAGCAUGGUGUGACGUGGGGAGGCAAGAGUCAAUGCCAAUGCAGGCAGCCCCCUCCCACCAAGCAAAGCGGCUUACAGACUUCGGAGAGGAAACAAAACAUCUACAUGCAAAUGUUGAACCAGAUUUCAGAGCAAGAGAGCAACUUCAAGAGCCAAGGCAGUUCCAACUACCAGGUGUUUAAUACCUUUUCAGCUUGGGUGGAUCAUGGAUCUCUUUGAGAAACUGAGGAGACAGUCUUGGAUUCUCUCUCUGUCUCUCUCUCUCUCCCCCACCUCCCCCUCUCUUGCACCUUCUUCUCCCUGCAAACAAAAUCAGAGUCCUGCUCUGUCACCCAGGCUGGAGUGCAGUGGUGCCACCUUGGCUGACUGCUAGCCUUGAACUCCUAGGCUCAAGUGAUCCUCCUGCCUCAGCCUCCCAAAGUGUUAGAAUUACAUGCGUGAGCCCCCACACCUGGCCUGGAUCCUCUCUUUUGUAGAAAAUGCACUUGCAUAGCAAACACACACACACAUACACACCUCUCACUUUUUUAAUGAAAUGUCAGGGUGUCUGCUGAUGCCUGAAGCACAUCCGAGGGCCGCAGUGAGAUAUUCUUCUUUGGAAGUGCUCAACAACCCUGGGAGGUAGGUGUGGCAGGGUCUCUUUUCAUACACCAUAAAACAGAGACCCAGAGGCAGCUCGCAACUUGCUCAGGUCAUGUAUUAGUGAGCAUCAGAGGCAGGCCAGGACCCCCAAUUGCACAGGUCUAGGAAGCACCAUUUCAUCCAAGUCUAUGUUGCAUGCCAAAGAGUGUCACUGACAGAGAACACAGUGAGACCACUGCUACCGCCCUGGAGUUAGGCAGUGCAGCAGCUCUAGAGGACCUCAGCCAGGGUCUUCUGAUAACCAUUUACAGGCAUAUAUGCAAAAAGCCCCACGGGGUGACAGAGGUAAGGAGUCCUGGAGGGGGAUCAGAGAGGGAUGCAAUUGCCGAAGACUUGGAUGCCUAAGCUUGCAAAUGGAAGACUAUUUCUAAAUCAUUUAUUCAUUCCACAGCUUCAUAGGUGGAGGUGAUUCAUAGGUGGUUCCUAUGUGAAUUUCAGUUCCCCUUCCCCCCGACCUAGAGUAAAAUCCACACUCUUAUUUAUUUAUUUAUUUAUUUUGAGAUGGAGUUUCACUCUGUUGCCCAGGCUGGAGUACAGUGGCAUCUCGGCUCCCUGCCACGUCUGCCUCCCAGGUUCAAGCAAUUCUCCUGCCUCAGCCUCCCAAGUACCUGGGAUUACAGGUCACCACCACCGCGCCAAGCUAAUUUUUUGAUUUAUACUAGAGACGGGGUUUCACCAAGUUGGCCAGGAUGGUCUCGAACUCCUGACCUCAAGUGAUCUGUCCACCUCGGCCUCCCAAAGCGCUGGGAUUACAGGCAUGAGCCACCGCACCUGGCCAAAAUCCACACUCUUCAUAGCGAUCUCUGUGGCUCAGCAGGGACCCCUCCAUGCCUCUCUGUCUCUCCUCUCUCUUGCCACUGCCUUUCUUGUUCAUUACACUCCAGCAACCCUGACCUUCUGUCAGUUCCUAGCGCUUGCCAAGCUUUCCCCUCCCCAGGGCCUUUGCACUUGCUGUUCCUCCUGCCUUGGAAGAUUCUAGCCCUGGCUGUUCCCAGGGCUGGCUCCGUCUCAUCCUUCAGCUCUCAUCUUGAAUGUCACUUUCUCAGAGAGAUCUUCUUUGACUUUAUCUAAGAAUAUCCCUCCACUAUUCUCUAGCCAUCUGUUUCUUUUUAGCACGUAUAACAAUCUGUAACUGUUUUAUGUCUUAAUUUGCUUAUGUAUUUAUUAUCUAUCUCUCCCUUGAUCAUAGAAAACAUGGUAAAGAUUGUAGCUACGGUGUCCUGUUCACCAUUCUAUCCCUAGCCCCUAGCACGUAUUAAGGGUUCAAUAAUUGCAGACUGAAUGACUGAAAGGCAUGUUUGGAAGCAGAAGUAUUCCUCGGCCACCACUUUAUCUUACUUAGUGCAGUAAUGCAAUCAACAUUUGGCUCCUGCUGUGAUGCUACCCUGAUCUCGGGCUGGUGAAAGCGUGACUCUCCAAGAUGAGCCAUCCAAGAAACCACAUAGAAAAGAUCAAGGUCCCAUAACUUCAGCUUGGGGAAGCAAGAACAAAUGUGGCAUUCCUCACUUAAGAAAGAAGAGGCUGUGAUGCUUGCUAAAAAAAAAAAAAACUUGUCAACUGGAUCCAUCAUCAAAGGAAACUGCCCCAUGGACAGUUUUAUGACGUAGUCUGAAGCACAGGAAAUGGGCGGCACGGGAGCAUCGGGGGACUUUUAGAAGUUGUAUUGCUUUCUUAAGAAAAUGCUGCUGGCUUCUGGAACUGCAGUUUAAUUAAAUUCAGUUGGCUGGAUACCUUCAAAGGCUGUUCCAGGUCUUCACCAGCCCUCACAGACGCAGGCAUCUUCCGAGCAAAUGUGUGAGCGAGAGAGCGGUGAAGCAGUCUCUGGCAAGACAAGGCAGGCAUUCUCCAAUCCUGGAUCAUCACACCCUGGCAUGCGGCAGGGCAGGUGGCCAAGGACCUGAGCGUCCAGAUCUUCCUCCACCCACCCCGCCCGGUCUCCAUGUGUGACAAUGGAGGGGAGACAAUGCUGUCUUCAUAGAGGUAGUGCAGAGAUCAGGGCUAUCAGAGGGGCCUGCAAAGGUGCACACAGACCCACUUUGGUCAAUUUGUCAGCGGUGAAAUCCGAUGCAGGUUCUCCCAGGGUGACUCGCUGCCACCCCAGGGAUGGAGUCUGCAGGUUUCUAGGGGCUGGUCCCCCAGGGAAGGAAGGUCUGAGGGCCACAGGAGCAUUUUGGGAACUUGAGCUCUUCCAAACCAGUCUGUAACACAGAAGACGCUAGAAAGAACACUAACUGGGUCAGAGAUGCAGUCCAGACACCAUGGGGCAUUCUGAUUAUCUUGAUAAGAUGUGAGCUCAAACAUAGACCCUGUCAGAUGAAAUGUCUCAGAAAAGGCAAUUUUCUGUUCAAUCUAACUUUUAAUUUAAAAAAUAAUAAUAACAGGCAGGGCAUGGUGCUUCACACCUGUGAUCCCAGCACUUUGGGAGGCUGAGGUGGGAGGAUCACCUGAGGUCAGGAGUUUGAGACCAGCCUGGCCAACAUGGUGAAACCUUACCUCUACUAAAAAUACAAAAAAAAUAGCCAGGUAUGGUGGCGCAUGCCUGUAAUCCCAG